GACGAACGCUGGCGGCGUGCCUAAUACAUGCAAGUAGAACGCUGAAGGAGGAGCUUGCUUCUCCGGAUGAGUUGCGAACGGGUGAGUAACGCGUAGGUAACCUGCCUGGUAACGGGGGAUAACUAUUGGAAACGAUAGCUAAUACCGCAUAAGAGUAGAUGUUGCAUGACAUUUGCUUAAAAGGUGCAAUUGCAUCACUACCAGAUGGACCUGCGUUGUAUUAGCUAGUUGGUGGGGUAACGGCUCACCAAGGCGACGAUACAUAGUCGACCUGAGAGGGUGAUCGGCCACACUGGGACUGAGACACGGCCCAGACUCCUACGGGAGGCAGCAGUAGGGAAUCUUCGGCAAUGGACGGAAGUCUGACCGAGCAACGCCGCGUGAGUGAAGAAGGUUUUCGGAUCGUAAAGCUCUGUUGUAAGAGAAGAACGAGUGUGAGAGUGGAAAGUUCACACUGUGACGGUAUCUUACCAGAAAGGGACGGCUAACUACGUGCCAGCAGCCGCGGUAAUACGUAGGUCCCGAGCGUUGUCCGGAUUUAUUGGGCGUAAAGCGAGCGCAGGCGGUUAGAUAAGUCUGAAGUUAAAGGCUGUGGCUUAACCAUAGUACGCUUUGGAAACUGUUUAACUUGAGUGCAAGAGGGGAGAGUGGAAUUCCAUGUGUAGCGGUGAAAUGCGUAGAUAUAUGGAGGAACACCGGUGGCGAAAGCGGCUCUCUGGCUUGUAACUGACGCUGAGGCUCGAAAGCGUGGGGAGCAAACAGG
Molecule: ribosomal RNA, 763 nt
Filed under: uncultured Streptococcus sp.
Lineage: Bacteria; Bacillati; Bacillota; Bacilli; Lactobacillales; Streptococcaceae
Description: bacterial SSU rRNA
Rfam family: Bacterial small subunit ribosomal RNA
Source: RNAcentral